AACGCACCUUGCGCUCCUUGGUAUUCCGAGGAGCAUGCCUGUUUGAGUGUCAUUAAAUUCUCAACCUUCCAGCUUUUAUUAGCUUGGAUAGGCUUGGAUGUGGGGGUUGCGGGCUUCAUCAAUGAGGUUGGCUCUCCUUAAAAGCAUUAGCGGAACUUUUGUGGACCGUCUAUUGGUGUGAUAAUUAUCUACGCCGUGGAUGUGAAGCAACUUUAUAAAGUUCAGCUUCUAACUGUCCAUUAAUUUGGACAAUUUUGACAAUUUGGCCUCAAAUCAGGUAGGACUACCCGCUGAACUUAA
This 300-nucleotide unclassified non-coding RNA is filed under the name uncultured Laccaria. RNAcentral describes it as "sequence contains ITS2". The stretch from base 1 to 52 matches the Rfam family "5.8S ribosomal RNA", at positions 103 to 154 of the family's 154-position model. The record is from RNAcentral. Lineage: Eukaryota; Fungi; Basidiomycota; Agaricomycetes; Agaricales; Tricholomataceae.